UCGCCUGUGGAGGAGCCUGCGUUCGAUUAGCUAGUUGGUGGGGUAAAGGCCUACCAAGGCGAUGAUCGAUAGCUGGUUUGAGAGGAUGAUCAGCCACACUGGGACUGAGACACGGCCCAGACUCCUACGGGAGGCAGCAGUGGGGAAUAUUGGACAAUGGGGGCAACCCUGAUCCAGCAAUGCCGCGUGUGUGAAGAAGGUCUUCGGAUUGUAAAGCACUUUCGACGGGGACGAUGAUGACGGUACCCGUAGAAGAAGCCCCGGCUAACUUCGUGCCAGCAGCCGCGGUAAUACGAAGGGGGCUAGCGUUGCUCGGAAUGACUGGGCGUAAAGGGCGUGUAGGCGGUUUACACAGUCAGAUGUGAAAUCCCCGGGCUUAACCUGGGAGCUGCAUUUGAUACGUGUAGACUAGAGUGUGAGAGAGGGUUGUGGAAUUCCCAGUGUAGAGGUGAAAUUCGUAGAUAU
This 465-nucleotide ribosomal RNA is filed under the name uncultured bacterium. Its description in RNAcentral is "bacterial SSU rRNA". It matches the Rfam family "Bacterial small subunit ribosomal RNA", at positions 215 to 697 of the family's 1533-position model. The record is from RNAcentral.